This 504-nucleotide ribosomal RNA is filed under the name uncultured bacterium. RNAcentral's name for it is "bacterial SSU rRNA". It matches the Rfam family "Bacterial small subunit ribosomal RNA", at positions 28 to 505 of the family's 1533-position model. The record is from RNAcentral.
GACGAACGCUGGCGGCGUGCCUAACACAUGCAAGUCGAACGGAGAUUCAGAUGAAGCUUGCGAUUCUGAAUCUUAGUGGCGGACGGGUGAGUAACGCGUGGGUAAUCUGCCCUUAAGUGGGGGAUAACAGUCGGAAACGACUGCUAAUACCGCAUAAGCUGGCGGGAACACAUGUUUCUGUCAGGAAAGGUGGCCUCUUAACAAUGCUACCGCUUAAGGAUGAGCCCGCGUCUGAUUAGCUAGUAGGUGGGGUAAUGGCCUACCUAGGCGACGAUCAGUAGCCGGCCUGAGAGGGUGUACGGCCACACUGGAACUGAGACACGGUCCAGACUCCUACGGGAGGCAGCAGUGGGGAAUAUUGGUCAAUGGACGGAAGUCUGAACCAGCCAUGUCGCGUGAAGGAGGACGGCCCUAAGGGUUGUAAACUUCUUUUGCAGGGGAAUAAAGUAUUACUACGAGAUGGGAUAUUGCAAGUACGCUGCGAAUAAGGAUCGGCUAACUCCG